AAUAAUGGAAAAUCUAAUUGAGAUGCAACUCUUCAUACUACCAAUAGAAAAAAAAGGAAGAUGCAUUUCUUCCCAACAAUAUGCACCAUUCAGCUA
RNAcentral lists this long non-coding RNA (96 nucleotides) under Monodelphis domestica (gray short-tailed opossum). Its description in RNAcentral is "lncRNA (ENSMODG00000042887.1)". Lineage: Eukaryota; Metazoa; Chordata; Mammalia; Didelphimorphia; Didelphidae. The record is from RNAcentral.